This 433-nucleotide ribosomal RNA is filed under the name uncultured bacterium. RNAcentral's name for it is "partial 16S ribosomal RNA". It matches the Rfam family "Bacterial small subunit ribosomal RNA", at positions 29 to 507 of the family's 1533-position model. The record is from RNAcentral.
AACGAACGCUGGCGGCAUGCCUAACACAUGCAAGUCGAACGAGACCUUCGGGUCUAGUGGCGCACGGGUGCGUAACGCGUGGGAACCUGCCCUUAGGUUCGGAAUAACUCCCCGAAAGGGGUGCUAAUACCGGAUAAUGUCUUCGGACCAAAGAUUUAUCGCCUUUGGAUGGGCCCGCGUUGGAUUAGCUAGUUGGUAGGGUAAAAGCCUACCAAGGCGACGAUCCAUAGCUGGUCUGAGAGGAUGAUCAGCCACACUGGGACUGAGACACGGCCCAGACUCCUACGGGAGGCAGCAGUGGGGAAUAUUGGACAAUGGGCGAAAGGCUGAUCCAGCAAUGCCGCGUGAGUGAUGAAGUCCUUAGGGUUGUAAAGCUCUUUUACCCGGGAUGAUAAUGACAGUACCGGGAGAAUAAGCACCGGCUAACUCCGUG